RNAcentral lists this unclassified non-coding RNA (156 nucleotides) under uncultured Nectriopsis. RNAcentral describes it as "sequence contains ITS1". The record is from RNAcentral. Lineage: Eukaryota; Fungi; Ascomycota; Sordariomycetes; Hypocreales; Bionectriaceae.
CCGAGUUUACAACUCCCAAACCCAUGUGAACAUACCUACUGUUGCUUCGGCGGGAUGCCCCCGGCGCCUCUGCGUGCCCGGGAGUCAGGCCCCCGCCGGAGGAUUCAAACUCUUGUUUUUAUAUAGAACUUCUGAGUGGAUAUAUAUAAAUAAUUA